RNAcentral lists this ribosomal RNA (2646 nucleotides) under Triticum aestivum (bread wheat). RNAcentral's name for it is "partial small subunit ribosomal RNA". Lineage: Eukaryota; Viridiplantae; Streptophyta; Magnoliopsida; Poales; Poaceae. The record is from RNAcentral.
AUGGCGCAGGAUUCUUGGGACGCAGACAAGAUCAGCUUGGAUGUGUACAUCCAUGACUACCUGGUGAAGCGGAACUUGCAGAACACUGCAAAGGCGUUCCAAGCCGAAUCCAAUCUUUCUCCAGAUCCUGUUGCAAUUGACGCCCCAGGGGGUUUCCUCUUCGAGUGGUGGUCGGUCUUCUGGGACAUCUUCAUUUCAAGGACCAACGACAAGCAUUCCGAUGUUGCUACUUCGUACAUUGAGACACAGUCGAUUAAAGCUCGAGAGCACCAGUCAUCAUUGCAGCAACAGCAGCAACAUCCUCAUUCCCAGCAGUCAGCACAGCAGAUCCAAAUGCAGCAACUCAUGCUACAGAGGCAGCAGCAGGAGCAGCAACAACAGGAGCAGACCCAACAACAGCAACAACAUCCUCAGCAGCAGCGGCAGCAGCAACGUCGCCAGCAGAAGCAACAGCAGCGUAAUGAGAGCAGUUAUUUGCCCACAAGUCCCCAGAAUGGUUCAGUAUCUGCUGAUCCUCCAACACAACCAAAUACUGUAACAACAAGUUCUUUGUCUGCAAAGGCGUAUGAAGAGAGAAUGAAGAUUUCUGCGCAGAGGGACACCUUGGAUGAGGCAUCAGUAAAGCAAAGGUUUAAUGAAAAUGCUGGGCAGCUUCUGGAAUCAAAUCCGGCAUCUUUACUGAAGUCCGCAGCAUUCUCAGCUCAGGCUUCCGGGCAAAUAUUUCAAGGAUCAGCUGGUGGAGUGUCAGGUACUUUGCAACAAGCUCAGGCCAGGAACCUACAGCUUCAGGGAUCAACACAGGAAAUCAAGGCAGAUUCAAACGCCACUCUAAAUCUUAGGGGUGCAGGAGCAGACGGAUCAUUACUUGGAGUACCAGGCACUAAUCCAGCAGGGCACAAUAUGACCUUGAAAGGGUGGCCUCUCACGGGUUUAGAUCAGUUUCGAUCUGGAUUUCUCCAACAGAAAUCUUUUAUGCAGAAUCCCCAAGCAUUGCAACAUCUUCAGUUUCUCACUCAACAGCAGCAACAGUUGCUGCUUCAAGCACAGCAAAAUAUUACAUCUUCAUCUGGAGAGAUGGAUGCCCGAAGGCUUCGGGUGCUUUUGAGCAGUCGAAGGGAUGGUCAGUCAAACGCAUUCACAGAUAUUAUUCCUAGUGUGGGGCCUUCACUGCAGAACAUGUAUUCACAUGUGCAGCCAAUGGAGACAGAUAUGCUGAUGAAGAAGAUAGCUGCUUUACAGCAGCAACGGCAAAGCAGCAAUCAGCAACAGCUCCUUCAACAAUCAUUACUUAGCCAGCUACCACAAAGCUCAAAUCACUUCUCAGGCAAUCAUGAAAAAAUGGUGCCUGGGAGUGUUUCUAUGGAUGGAAGCUUGUGCUAUUCCUUUCGUGGAAAUGAACAGGCUUCCAAGAAUCAAAAUGGGCGAAAACGCAAACAACCUAUCUCAUCAUCCGGUCCAGCUAACAGCUCUGGUACUAUGAAUACUACUGGCCCCUGCCCCAGCUCAGCACCCUCAACUCCUUCCACAGAUACUCCAGGAGACACCAUAUCAAUGCCACCGAUGCACCACAAUGCUAGUAUAUCGAAGGCCUUAGUUGUUUUUGGUUCUGAUGCCCCAGGCACAAGGGAAUCGCCAACAAACCAGAUUGCUGACAUGGAUCGCUUGGUGGAGGAUGACAGCUUGGGAGAUAACGUGGACUCGUUCUUGUCACAUGAUGAUGCUGCAGGUCCAAGUGAUGCCCGCAGCCGUUGUAUGGCUUCUUCUAAAGGAUUCACCUUCCGAGAGGUUUCUUCAGCUCGAGCAAGCACCAACAAGGUUGUAUGUUGUCACUUCUCAUCAGAUGGAAAUCUACUUGCUACUGGGGGUCAUGAUAAGAAGGUGGUAUUGUGGAAUGCUGAAACUUUAAAACAAAAGGCAGUAUUGGAGGAGCAUUCUCUUCUGAUAACCGAUGUACGGUUCGGUCCAAGCAUCCCACGUAUUGCUACAUCAUCAUUUGACAAAACUGUCAGGGUCUGGGAUGUCGACAAUCAAGAUGAUACAGUCCAUACGUUUACCGGGCACUCAGCAUCUGUUAUGUCGGUGGAUUUUCACCCAAACAAGGAUGACCUCAUUUGUUCUUGUGAUGGGAAUGGUGAGAUACGGCUCUGGAGUAUCAGCAGCGGAAGGGCUGUCCGAAAUUUCAAGGGAGGUUCAAGCCAGCUGAGAUUUCAGCCACGUCAUGGUGGAUUUCUUGCAGCAGCUUCAGAGAAUGUUGUAUCUAUACUGGAUGUGGAAACACAAGCUUGUGUUAGGAUAUUUGAGGGUCACACAGAGCAUGUUGAUUCACUUUGUUGGAGCCCCACGGGUGACUAUGUUGUCUCUACCAGUGAAGACACGGUAAAAGUAUGGUCUGUGAAUUCUGGGAAUGAGAACUGCGUGCAAGAGCUCAACAGCACUGGGAGCAAGUUUCAUGCAUGCGCUUUCCACCCUAAGUAUCCAUCUUUGCUCAUCAUCGGUUGCUACCAGUCUCUGGAGCUGUGGGACAUGGUGGAGAACAGGAGCAUGACCGUCGCGGCGCACGACGGCCUCAUCUCUGCCUUGGCCUCCUCAAGCUCCGGCCUGGUGGCUUCAGUGAGCCAUGACAAGCACGUGAAGCUGUGGAAAUGA